Molecule: long non-coding RNA, 599 nt
Filed under: Homo sapiens (human)
Lineage: Eukaryota; Metazoa; Chordata; Mammalia; Primates; Hominidae
Description: HSALNT0401720
Source: RNAcentral
UGCCGGGGGGCGCGGCGGGCGCAGCAGAGCGGCGGGCGGCGGCGGCGUCGUCGAGCGCAGACAAUACAAGCGCCUCGGACCGAGUCCCCGAACCUGCCCUAGCCAAAAUGGCGGCCGAGAAAGAGCGGAAGUGACGGUCUCACUCUGUUGUCCAGGCAUGAUCACAGCUCACUGCAGCCUUGACCUCCCAGACUCAAGUGAACCUCCCACCUCAGCCUCCCAAGUAGCUGGGACCACAGGAAAUGGACAUAUGGAACUCAUCAUUCAUUUUAAAGUAUGGUGGCCAUUGGCGGUGACAAAAGGAAAAGAAGCAAAGAGACUCAGUCCAUAAUGCUGAUUAGUUAGAAGAAAGGGCUAGGAUUGAGAAAGUACCAGGAACUUUUAAUUAUUUAAAAGAGAAUGCUGACUGUUAAUGUUUUAAAUCUUACUGUUCAAAUGUACUAAUAUGAAUUUUUACCCUUUGUGCAUGAAUAUUCUAAACAACUAGAAGACCUCCACAAUUUAGCAGUUAUGAAAGUUAAACUUUUUAUUAUAAAAAUUCUAAACCUUACUGCUCCUUUACCAGGAACAUGACACACUAUUUAGCAUCAGUUGCAUAC